GAUGAACGCUGGCGGCGUGCCUAAUACAUGCAAGUCGAGCGAACGGACGAGAAGCUUGCUUCUCUGAUGUUAGCGGCGGACGGGUGAGUAACACGUGGAUAACCUACCUAUAAGACUGGGAUAACUUCGGGAAACCGGAGCUAAUACCGGAUAAUAUUUUGAACCGCAUGGUUCAAAAGUGAAAGACGGUCUUGCUGUCACUUAUAGGUGGAUCCGCGCUGCAUUAGCUAGUUGGUAAGGUAACGGCUUACCAAGGCAACGAUGCAUAGCCGACCUGAGAGGGUGAUCAGCCACACUGGAACUGAGACACGGUCCAGACUCCUACGGGAGGCAGCAGUAGGGAAUCUUCCGCAAUGGGCGAAAGCCUGACGGAGCAACGCCGCGUGAGUGAUGAAGGUCUUCGGAUCGUAAAACUCUGUUAUUAGGGAAGAACAUAUGUGUAAGUAACUGUGCACAUCUUGACGGUACCUAAUCAGAAAGCCACGGCUAACUACGUG
This 497-nucleotide ribosomal RNA is filed under the name uncultured bacterium. RNAcentral describes it as "partial 16S ribosomal RNA". It matches the Rfam family "Bacterial small subunit ribosomal RNA", at positions 28 to 507 of the family's 1533-position model. The record is from RNAcentral.